Molecule: ribosomal RNA, 570 nt
Filed under: uncultured bacterium
Lineage: Bacteria
Description: partial 16S ribosomal RNA
Rfam family: Bacterial small subunit ribosomal RNA
Source: RNAcentral
UGGGGAAUUUUGGACAAUGGGCGAAAGCCUGAUCCAGCAAUGCCGCGUGUGUGAAGAAGGCCUUCGGGUUGUAAAGCACUUUUGUCCGGAAAGAAAUCCUUGGCUCUAAUACAGUCGGGGGAUGACGGUACCGGAAGAAUAAGCACCGGCUAACUACGUGCCAGCAGCCGCGGUAAUACNUAGGGUGCAAGCGUUAAUCGGAAUUACUGGGCGUAAAGCGUGCGCAGGCGGUUUGCUAAGACCGAUGUGAAAUCCCCGGGCUCAACCUGGGAACUGCAUUGGUGACUGGCAGGCUAGAGUAUGGCAGAGGGGGGUAGAAUUCCACGUGUAGCAGUGAAAUGCGUAGAGAUGUGGAGGAAUACCGAUGGCGAAGGCAGCCCCCUGGGCCAAUACUGACGCUCAUGCACGAAAGCGUGGGGAGCAAACAGGAUUAGAUACCCUGGUAGUCCACGCCCUAAACGAUGUCAACUAGUUGUUGGGGAUUCAUUUCCUUAGUAACGUAGCUAACGCGUGAAGUCGACCGCCUGGGGAGUACGGUCGCAAGAUUAAAACUCAAAUGAAUUGACGGGG